This 470-nucleotide ribosomal RNA is filed under the name uncultured bacterium. RNAcentral's name for it is "bacterial SSU rRNA". It matches the Rfam family "Bacterial small subunit ribosomal RNA", at positions 791 to 1267 of the family's 1533-position model. The record is from RNAcentral.
UAGUCUACGCCGUAAACGAUGGAUACUAGUUGUUUGGCUUUCGGGCUGAGUGACUAAGCGAAAGUGAUAAGUAUCCCACCUGGGGAGUACGUUCGCAAGAAUGAAACUCAAAGGAAUUGACGGGGCCCGCACAAGCGGUGGAGCAUGUGGUUUAAUUCGAUGAUACGCGAGGAACCUUACCAGGGCUUAAAUGUAGAUCGACAGACUGAGAGAUCGGUUUUUCUCGGACAAUUUACAAGGUGCUGCAUGGUUGUCGUCAGCUCGUACCGUGAGGUGUCAGGUUAAGUCCUAUAACGAGCGCAACCCCUGUUGUUAGUUGCCAGCGAGUAGUGUCGGGAACUCUAACAAGACUGCCGUGCAAACCGUGAGGAAGGUGGGAUGACGUCAAAUCAUCACGGCCCUUACGUCCUGGGGCCACACACGUGCUACAAUGGGUAGGUACAGAGAGCAGCCACUUAGUGAUAAGGGAG